CGCAGAGACAUCCAGACGGGGUCGCUUCCGUCAAAUUCAAAGACGUGGAAUGCGCCGAUAAAUGUGUGGAAUCUCUCAACGGCAGGUGGUUUGCAAAGAGGCAGCUCCUUUGCGAGCUGUGGGACGGUGUGACCGACUACAAGAUUGAGGAGACGGACAAAGAGAGAGAAGAACGCCUCAAAAAGUGGGAGAACUUCCUCCACGACGACGACAAGACGACGGAAUCAGGGAGCAGCGAGAAGCAAGAUGCAGGGAAGGAGGGAACAGAAACGCAGGGGAGCAAUGUCACCCAGCACACCGAUGAGGACAAAAGUGCGGUUACAGAGGCAGGGAGCGACACAGCACAGAACACCGAAGCCGUAGAUGCGACGUGAUGCUCUGGGAAGUGGUGACAAGUUUCGUUGCAAGUGCAUGAUUAGAUGGUACAUCCUGGCUGCCUAUAAUGCCUAAGAUGCCAAACUUGAUGUGACAUCUCCAGUGCACUUGCAGGGGACCAGUGAUAAUCUUCACUUGCUGCUUAUGUGGAUGGCACUAAUAACAUUUGCUCACUGGUAGCCAGAGAUCUCUUAAUGCCAUCCUAUGGUUGCAGACUAGUAAAUAAACUGCCAUAGACCCCCAGUGAUAAAUGCGCCCACUUCUGAAAUUCAGGAAAAAAUACUCUCACAACUCUCCAAGGUGUUUGAGACACACAUCAAAUUAAAGCUUAUUUCAC
Molecule: long non-coding RNA, 712 nt
Organism: Patiria miniata (bat star)
Lineage: Eukaryota; Metazoa; Echinodermata; Asteroidea; Valvatida; Asterinidae
Exons: 3
Source: RefSeq, a predicted model, not a curated record